Molecule: long non-coding RNA, 1094 nt
Organism: Rhineura floridana
Lineage: Eukaryota; Metazoa; Chordata; Lepidosauria; Squamata; Rhineuridae
Exons: 5
Source: RefSeq, a predicted model, not a curated record
CAGGUAGUUGUAGCUGGUGUGGAGGAACUGGUUGACCAAGCGGUUCACGCCCGCUUCGCUCUCGGUGUGGUAGUUCUGGCGGAUCUGGGAGCUCAUGGCGCAAAUCGACGUCGGCUUUUAGGCUGGCUGAGAAAUUGGUGCGGGUUGCGGCUACGACCCUGCUCCGUUCAAGCACUGUUGAAGCAAGAGCAAAGGAACGACAGCCAGAAAUGGAUCGGUCUAAGGCGGGAGCGCCCCGGUGGAGGCUUUUAUAGGCAGUUCUGGAAGGCUCUUCCAAAAACCUCUCUCAGUGCUGAGUGCAAAUGCUACGUCCCGCCCUCUUUGUUUGCGCUGGGAGGGGGAUCUAGGAAGGACUCAGGACUUCUUGCCUGCUAGGGGGAGGCGAGCUUGAGCCUGAUUUUGUGGGUCGUUACUGUUUAGCUAAGUUCCACUUAUCUUCAACGAUUUGCAACCUUCGAGCCUUGAAAUUGUUGUCAAGAGAGGACAAUCCUAUGCAUGUCUACAUCUGAGCAGAUUUACCUAGGACAGGAGAAAAACCCCACUGAAAUUUACGUGUUAAAUUCAGUAAGGGUUUUUCCCGUCUACAGUACAACACUAAAUGUCCGCUUCCUCUGUUGAGCAGAAUGGACCUUCUGAUAAGAUGGUUUCUGUGGGGAGUCCCUCACCUACAGAGCGCAGUGAUCACCUGGGUAUAUAUAACAGGCAGCUUCAAACCCCAUUCCUAAGAUGAAGGCAUUCUGGAACCUGCUCUGCUAGAAUGAGGUUUUGGACAUCAAGAUCAAGAAUGAAGAUUUGGUACUCCACCAUGUUCAGCCCUUUGUUUGGUUUCUGCAAUAUUAAAGGCUGAGGGACUUCCCAAGCAAUCAAAGCAAAUGCAGCCCCUGCGCCAAGGUACGAUUUCUCCUCAAUGAAACAUUCACUCUCUAAAAUGGGUUCCUGUGUCCCUGUCUGUUUUUCACAGUCCACUCAACUACCCCCUCCGGAUUCUAUCAUUUCUUUUUGCUGCAUGUAUGGACCAGAAAUAAAACCCCUUCCCUGUUAACAAUAUCAAGUAGCACUUGAGAGAAUCUAAAAGAAUAAACAAUGCACAAGUA